Pangasius djambal is the source of this 71-nucleotide non-coding RNA. The record is from the annotation of a GenBank genome assembly. Lineage: Eukaryota; Metazoa; Chordata; Actinopteri; Siluriformes; Pangasiidae.
UCCCUGGAGGACUAGUGUUAGGCCACGGCGCUUUCACCCCUGUGGCCCAGGUUCAAUUCCUGGCCAGGAAG